GUCGAGAAUCUUCCGCAAUGCGCGAAAGCGUGACGGAGCGACACCGCGUGAUGGAUGAAGUCCUUCGGGGCGUAAACAUCUUUUAUAAAGGAGGAAAUUUUUGACGUUACUUUAUGAAUAAGGGGCUCCCAAUCUCGUGCCAGCAGGAGCGGUAAUACGAGAGCCUCAAGCGUUAUCCGGAAUCAUUGGGCGUAAAGGGUGCGUAGGUGGUUUGAUUAGUCUCCCGUUAAAACUUCGAGCUUAACUCGAAAAGAGCGGGGGAAACGGUCAAACUAGAGUAUGUGAGAGGUGUGUGGAACUCAUGGUGUAGGGGUGAAAUCCGUUGAUAUCAGGGGGAACACCAAAAGCGAAGGCAGCACACUGGCACAUCACUGACACUGAGGCACGAAACCUAAGGUAGCGAAUGGGAUUAGAUACCCUAGUAGUCC
This 428-nucleotide ribosomal RNA is filed under the name uncultured bacterium. RNAcentral describes it as "bacterial SSU rRNA". It matches the Rfam family "Bacterial small subunit ribosomal RNA", at positions 354 to 796 of the family's 1533-position model. The record is from RNAcentral.